This 373-nucleotide ribosomal RNA is filed under the name uncultured organism. RNAcentral describes it as "partial 16S ribosomal RNA". It matches the Rfam family "Bacterial small subunit ribosomal RNA", at positions 527 to 896 of the family's 1533-position model. The record is from RNAcentral.
GUAGGUGGCAAGCGUUGUCCGGAAUUAUUGGGCGUAAAGCGCGCGCAGGCGGUUCUUUAAGUCUGAUGUGAAAGCCCACGGCUCAACCGUGGAGGGUCAUUGGAAACUGGAGAACUUGAGUACAGAAGAGGAAAGCGGAAUUCCACGUAUAGCGGUGAAAUGCGUAGAGAUGUGGAGGAACACCAGUGGCGAAGGCGGCUUUCUGGUCUGUAACUGACGCUGAGGCGCGAAAGCGUGGGGAGCAAACAGGAUUAGAUACCCUGGUAGUCCACGCCGUAAACGAUGAGUGCUAAGUGUUAGGGGGGUUUCCGCCCCCCUUAGUGCUGCAGCUAACGCAUUAAGCACUCCGCCUGGGAGUACGGCCGCAAGGCUG